Molecule: ribosomal RNA, 253 nt
Filed under: uncultured bacterium
Lineage: Bacteria
Description: partial 16S ribosomal RNA
Rfam family: Bacterial small subunit ribosomal RNA
Source: RNAcentral
UACGGAGGGAGCUAGCGUUGUUCGGAAUUACUGGGCGUAAAGGGCGCGUAGGCGGGAUGGCAAGUCGGUCGUGAAAUCCCUCGGCUCAACCGAGGAACGUCGAUCGAUACUGCUGUUCUUGAGGAUUGCAGAGGAGACUGGAAUUCCCGGUGUAGCGGUGAAAUGUGUAGAGAUCGGGAGGAACACCGGUGGCGAAGGCGGGUCUCUGGGCAAUUCCUGACGCUGAGGCGCGAAAGCGUGGGGAGCAAACGGG